AUGGCGGUGAUGGACCUGCCCCGCGCUAAGGAGCCCCAAGCCACCAAGGUGCCUUCUAUCGUGCAUGGCGUCCUAGACGAAUCCACCGACCCCAAAUGCCUGCCGCCACAUCGCUGCUAUGAUCACGCCAUCACGCUGGUGGAGGAUGCAUGCCCCGCCAACUCCAAACCAUGCCGCUACUCGCCGUUGCAGAAAGACGAGAUCGAGCGCCAGGUCGAAGAGAUGCUGCAGUCGGGCGUCAUCGAACAUAGCAUGAGCCCCUUCGCAACACCCGUGCUCCUCGUCAAGAAGAAGGAUGAUACGUCUCCGUCGUAUCUACUUUUCCUAACGCUUUUGCUCUUGUUUUGGACUCUAAUUUGCAUGAUUUGA
RNAcentral lists this ribosomal RNA (369 nucleotides) under Triticum aestivum (bread wheat). RNAcentral's name for it is "partial small subunit ribosomal RNA". The record is from RNAcentral. Lineage: Eukaryota; Viridiplantae; Streptophyta; Magnoliopsida; Poales; Poaceae.